RNAcentral lists this ribosomal RNA (497 nucleotides) under uncultured bacterium. RNAcentral describes it as "partial 16S ribosomal RNA". It matches the Rfam family "Bacterial small subunit ribosomal RNA", at positions 28 to 507 of the family's 1533-position model. The record is from RNAcentral.
GAUGAACGCUGGCGGCGUGCCUAAUACAUGCAAGUCGAGCGAACGGACGAGAAGCUUGCUUCUCUGAUGUUAGCGGCGGACGGGUGAGUAACACGUGGAUAACCUACCUAUAAGACUGGGAUAACUUCGGGAAACCGGAGCUAAUACCGGAUAAUAUUUUGAACCGCAUGGUUCAAAAGUGAAAGACGGUCUUGCUGUCACUUAUAGAUGGAUCCGCGCUGCAUUAGCUAGUUGGUAAGGUAACGGCUUACCAAGGAAACGAUGCAUAGCCGACCUGAGAGGGUGAUCGGCCACACUGGAACUGAGACACGGUCCAGACUCCUACGGGAGGCAGCAGUAGGGAAUCUUCCGCAAAGGGCGAAAGCCUGACGGAGCAACGCCGCGUGAGUGAUGAAGGUCUUCGGAUCGUAAAACUCUGUUAUUAGGGAAGAACAUAUGUGUAAGUAACUGUGCACAUCUUGACGGUACCUAAUCAGAAAGCCACGGCUAACUACGUG